Small nuclear RNA from Cercocebus atys (sooty mangabey), 167 nucleotides. Its record names the gene U1. It matches the Rfam family "U1 spliceosomal RNA". Rfam says of the family: U1 is a small nuclear RNA (snRNA) component of the spliceosome (involved in pre-mRNA splicing). Its 5' end forms complementary base pairs with the 5' splice junction, thus defining the 5' donor site of an intron. Lineage: Eukaryota; Metazoa; Chordata; Mammalia; Primates; Cercopithecidae. The record is from Ensembl.
AUACUUAUCUGGAAAUGGAGAUACCAUAAUCAUGAAGGUAGUUUUUCCAGGGUGAGGCUUAUCCAUUGAACUCUGGGUGUGCUGACCCCUGUGAUUUCCCCAAAUGUGGGAAACUCUAAUGCACAAUUUGUGGUGGUGGUGGAGGACUGUGUUCCUACUCUCCCCGG